GCUGCCAAGACGGCGCAGACACGCCUGCGGACA
This 33-nucleotide transfer RNA is filed under the name Cyanochen cyanoptera (blue-winged goose). Its description in RNAcentral is "Cyanochen cyanopterus (blue-winged goose) partial tRNA-Phe". The record is from RNAcentral. Lineage: Eukaryota; Metazoa; Chordata; Aves; Anseriformes; Anatidae.